GCCAAGAUGGAUUCUACUCCAUGACGCGGAGAGCUCUCGAACAGCCUCAGCGGCAAGUUGGAGCACGGGGACUCGGUACAGCAAUGGAGCGGCAGAAGUUCAAGUUCCAGAUGAUGCACGCGAUGGCCUAGUUGAUGCGAGGGCGAUCUGGGCAGUUACAGCUGAUCACUCACUGCCAUGAAAGGGGAAUCGCGACAUGGAUCUGACUAAGCUGAAAGUACAGACUCGUUUCAAUAGGCCAGCUUAAACUUUUUCAUCCAUCUUGAUCCAGUUUCACUAUUGCUUCAUACUGACUAUACAUUUAUUGCUGUAUAACAACAUCAGCUUAUAUAUCCUCACACUCGUUCUCUGUACCUGAUCAUAUACUAGCUGGAUAAUAAACAUCUUAGUUGCGCUUAUAAUGUUUAUCAAGGAAUUCAUGUUUUCUGUGGUAAUUGUUCCUAGGUAUGUAGAUAUUUUUUGCCUUGAUAUUUAUCAACGCAUAAUCUAGUUAUUUGAGAUUUGGAGCAGUCAAUAAUAAAUGCACAGCAAGAAUGCAGUUACAACUUUGUCAUGGAUCGUCUAUCUAGAUAAGCAUAUAUCGAUGGACUUGUGACAUCUUGUACUUAUAGUUAUAGUUCUACAUUUUCUGCGCUGCCAUUGUAUUUACUCUAUAUCUUCAAGAGAUGUUAGCAAAGGACACAUGGAUGCUUAAAACAUGCAGUCUUGCAUAUGAGUUUCUGAUAGAAAAUUCAUUCCUGAAGUUGAUGCCAUUCGACUAGAGUAUUAAUCAUUUCGUAUACAUACCCUCAUUCUCUGUUUUGUGCAACUAGUAAUUGGAUUGACUAUACCUAUCGGUUUUUGCCAAUUUGAUACCAUAGUAGAUUUUUUUUUAUUGCUGGACCAACAAAUCGACAAACAACAGAUCGGCAAGGCCUUACUAUAUUCAGAUAUAAGCUCUGAAGAUAUCGAAAGGAGGAAUAUUAGGAAUGUAUAGGGCUAGUUAGAUUGUAAUAUUUUUGAAUCAAGAUUAUAA
Lolium rigidum is the source of this 1015-nucleotide long non-coding RNA. RefSeq lists it as uncharacterized. NCBI's taxonomy places the organism in Eukaryota, Viridiplantae, Streptophyta, Magnoliopsida, Poales, Poaceae. The record is from RefSeq and is a predicted model, not a curated record. The transcript is spliced from 3 exons.